AACAUUCUAGUAGCUUAACCCGUUAAAGC
This 29-nucleotide transfer RNA is filed under the name Trachemys decussata decussata. RNAcentral's name for it is "partial transfer RNA-Thr". RNAcentral also lists the same sequence under 1 other name. The record is from RNAcentral. Lineage: Eukaryota; Metazoa; Chordata; Testudines; Emydidae.